This 218-nucleotide long non-coding RNA is filed under the name Ixodes scapularis (black-legged tick). RNAcentral's name for it is "uncharacterized LOC121833406". The record is from RNAcentral. Lineage: Eukaryota; Metazoa; Arthropoda; Arachnida; Ixodida; Ixodidae.
AAGGACGUAAGAGAAAGUUGACAUUCAGGAACCUUCACCUUGCUGAGUGCAUCAUAUAUGCAGUGCAGAGCUGUCAUAAAUGUGAAGACUUCAAGGUAGAAACCAUGGCCACGGAUUAACUUCGCCACGCACCUGCCUGACAUCAGUCAUCUCAAAUGGAACAUUCUGCACCACAGGAGAGAGAGAUGUGAACUGCCUUAAGUGGGCCUUGAAUGUGC